This 1460-nucleotide ribosomal RNA is filed under the name uncultured Bordetella sp. RNAcentral's name for it is "partial 16S-23S ribosomal RNA intergenic spacer". It matches the Rfam family "Bacterial small subunit ribosomal RNA". Lineage: Bacteria; Pseudomonadati; Pseudomonadota; Betaproteobacteria; Burkholderiales; Alcaligenaceae. The record is from RNAcentral.
AGUUUGAUUAUGGCUCAGAUUGAAUGCUGGUGGGAUGCUGAUACAUAAAUGAACGGCAGCAUCGACUUCGGUCUGGUGGCGAGGGCGAACGGGUGAGUAAUGUGAUUGAACGUGCCUAGUAGCGGGGAUAAAUUACGUGAAAGCGUAGCUUAAUACGCAUGACGCCCUUCGGGGAAAGCGGGGACCUUCAAUAUUCGCACCAUUAGAUGGCCGAUAUCGGAUUAGCUAGUUGGUGGGGUGGUUCUGGUCACCAAGGCGACGAUCCGUAGCUGGUUUGAGAGGACGACCAGCCACACUGGGACCGAGACAUUCGGCCCAGACUCCUACGGAGGCAGCAGGGAAUUUUGACAAUGGGAACCCUGAUCCAGCCAUUCAUGUGCGAUGAAGGCCUUCGGGCUUGUAAAGCACUUUUGGCAGGAAAGAACGGCACGGGAUAAUACCCCGUGCAACUGACGGUACCUGCAGAAUAAGCACCGCUAACUACGUGCCAGCAGCCGCGGUAAUACGUAGGGUGCAAGCGCGACCGAAUUAUCGGGCGUAAAGCGUGCGCAGGCGGUUCGGAAAGAAAGAUGUGGAAUCCCAGAGCUUAACUUUGGAACUGCAUUUUCAACUACCGAGCUAGAGUGUGUCAGAGGAGGUGGAAUUCCGCGUGUAGUAGUGAAAUGCGUAGAUAUGCGGAGGAACACCGAUGGCGAAGGCAGCCUCCUGGGAUAACACUCUUGACGCUCAUGCACGAAAGCGUGUGGGGAGCAAAUGAUAUUUAGAUACCCGGUAGUCCACGCCCUAAACGAUGUCAAAUUAGCUGUUGGGGCCUUCGGGCCUUGGUAGCGCAGCUAACGCGUGAAGUUGACCGCCUGGGAGCAUGGUCGCAAGAUUAACCGUAAAGGAAUUGACGGGGACUCCGCACAAGCGGUGGAUGAUGUGGAUUAAUUCGAUGCAACGCGAAAAACUCACCUACCCUGACAUGUCUGAAUCCCGAAGAGAUUUGGGAGUGCUCGCAAGAGAACCGGAACACAGGUGCUGUACGGCUGUCGUCACCGUGUCGAGAUGUUGGGUUAAGUCCCGCAACGAGCGCAAACCCUUGUCAUUAGUUGCUACGAAAGGGCACUCUAAUGAGACUGCCGGUGACAAACUGAGGAAGGUGGGGAUGACGUCAAGUCCUCAUGGCCCUUGCAGGGUAGGGCUUCACACGUCAUACAAUGGUCGGGACAGGUCGCCAACCCGCGAGGGGGAUAAUCCCAGAAACCCGAUCGUAGGUCCGGAUCGCAGUCUACAACUCGACUGCGUGAAGUCGGAAUCGUUAUAAUCGCGGAUCAGCAUGUCGCGGUGAAUACGUCUUCGGUCUUGUACACUGCCCGCUACACCAAGGAGUGGGUUUUACCAGAAGUAGUUAGCCUAACCGUAAGGAGGGCGAUUACCACGGUAGGAUUCAUGACUGGGGUGAAGUCGUAACAAGGUAG